UACGAAGGGGGCUAGCGUUGUUCGGAAUUACUGGGCGUAAAGCGCGCGCAGGUGGUCUUUCAAGUCAGUGGUGAAAGCCCGGAGCUCAACUCCGGAAAUGCCAUUGAAACUGUGAGACUUGAGGACGAGAGAGGUGAGUGGAAUUCCCAGUGUAGAGGUGAAAUUCGUAGAUAUUGGGAAGAACACCGGUGGCGAAGGCGGCUCACUGGCUCGUAUCUGACGCUCAGGCGCGACAGCGUGGGGAUCAAACGGG
Molecule: ribosomal RNA, 253 nt
Filed under: uncultured bacterium
Lineage: Bacteria
Description: partial 16S ribosomal RNA
Rfam family: Bacterial small subunit ribosomal RNA
Source: RNAcentral